RNAcentral lists this ribosomal RNA (468 nucleotides) under uncultured bacterium. Its description in RNAcentral is "partial 16S ribosomal RNA". It matches the Rfam family "Bacterial small subunit ribosomal RNA", at positions 28 to 507 of the family's 1533-position model. The record is from RNAcentral.
GACGAACGCUGGCGGCGUGCUUAACUCAUGCAAGUCGAACGGAAAGGCCCUGCUUUUGUGGGGUGCUCGAGUGGCGAACGGGUGAGUAACACGUGAGUAACCUGCCCUUGACUUUGGGAUAACUUCAGGAAACUUGGGCUAAUACCGGAUAGGAGCUCCUGCUUCAUGGUGGGGGUUGGAAAGUUUCGGCGGUUGGGGAUGGACUCGCGGCUUAUCAGCUUGUUGGUGGGGUAGUGGCUUACCAAGGCUUUGACGGGUAGCCGGCCUGAGAGGGUGACCGGCCACAUUGGGACUGAGAUACGGCCCAGACUCCUACGGGAGGCAGCAGUGGGGAAUAUUGCACAAUGGGCGGAAGCCUGAUGCAGCAACGCCGCGUGCGGGAUGACGGCCUUCGGGUUGUAAACCGCUUUCGCCUGUGACGAAGCGUGAGUGACGGUAAUGGGUAAAGAAGCACCGGCUAACUACGUG